RNAcentral lists this ribosomal RNA (266 nucleotides) under Polyscias albersiana. The record is from RNAcentral. Lineage: Eukaryota; Viridiplantae; Streptophyta; Magnoliopsida; Apiales; Araliaceae.
GUGCUUGGGCGAGAGUAGUACUAGGAUGGGUGACCCCCUGGGAAGUCCUCGNGUUGNACCCCCNCCCCCAAUUUWNWAAUUUUUUUUUUUUGCUUUUUUAGGGGCAAGUGUACGAAAGGAAACGCGCGUACGAGUGAACAUGGCUUAGAAAAAGAGCACGCGCGACGUAAAACUCACAACGUUCGGCACCGACCCUUWMAAAUAUGGGCACAAAAUCGGAUGAUCGUAACGGUUGGGAAUAUAGGAGUAAGAAGGGAAAAGGAAAA